Oncorhynchus tshawytscha (Chinook salmon) is the source of this 661-nucleotide long non-coding RNA. The record is from Ensembl. Lineage: Eukaryota; Metazoa; Chordata; Actinopteri; Salmoniformes; Salmonidae.
UGUGUGUGUGUCAUCAUGUUUAUCAGUCUGCUUGUGAAUGUGAAAGGCAAUCAGCAGUGAUAGAGGUGGAUAGGACUACCUGCCUUUGAAACCUUGGUGUGUGGGUGUGCCCCCCUUACAGGACGAGUCCACUGCUUAACGAGGUGUGUUCACCUGUCCCUGUAGGAGUGCCAGGUGCUUCCAAGGCAGAGAAAGACCAAGGAUGGUGUCUGCAGGAGAACAGGAGAUCUACAGUAUAUGGACACUAAUGGGUCCGUAUGGGGUAGACCGUGCCGUUCAUGAAAUAGAAUUUACUGACUGUGAGAAUGGACUGGGGAUCAAAGUGAUUGGAGGAAUGAAGGAGUUAACGGGAGAGGAGUUUGGAGUCUACGUGAAAAGGAUUUUACCUGGUGGCCUUGCUUCAAGUGAUGGACACCUCCAGGCGGGAGACCAGAUCUUGGAGGUGAAUGGGGAGAGUUUACUAGGGGUCACUAGUGAAAGAGCAGUAGACGUUCUGAGAUCAGCGUCCUCGAGCAACCAAAUGCGCCUUCUGAUCGCCAGAGACGAGGAAGCCAGGAGAGAGUUUUCAGAGCUUUUGGAGAAGUAUGGAUCCAGCAGUAGUACUGGGUCGACACGCAACUCUCCCAUCCAGCAUGGCAGAUAUCUGGACAGCACAUCGUCC